AAUCAAUGAUAGAAAAAUUACAUAUAGUAUAUUUAUGUUUUAUGCCUAAACUUUGUAUCAUAUAUGAAUAUUUUUAGUUUGUACCCACUUUUAAUUUGCAACAUUUUUUUUUUAAUUUGUAGUAUUUUUUUUUUAGUUUUAUUUUGUACCCAUGUAUUAAUUUCUUUUAGCGCCUAUAUUUUUAAAAAUUCAUUUGUAUUCAUAAUUUUUAAUUUUUUAUCUGUACCCUAAUUUAUUUCUAAUGUACAAAUUCUUCUUUAUCAAUGCACCAUUUUGUUAUAUGUGAAAUGUACCAAUUUUUUUAACACUAUGGAUACAUUCUUUUGCCAUUUAUUAUUUAUUAUUUUUAUAUAGUUUCUAUCCAUUUAUUGAAUCAAAAUGUUUGAAUUUUUUUAUUGUAACCGUUUCUAAUAGUAUUAUAAUGAGGGAUUUUAAAUUU
This 439-nucleotide long non-coding RNA is filed under the name Malus domestica (apple). RNAcentral describes it as "long non-coding RNA (MDOM_LNC007474)". Lineage: Eukaryota; Viridiplantae; Streptophyta; Magnoliopsida; Rosales; Rosaceae. The record is from RNAcentral.